UCCAGACUCCUACGGGAGGCAGCAGUGGGGGAUAUUGCACAAUGGGGGAAACCCAGAUGCAGCGACGCCGCGUGAGUGAAGAAGUAUUUCGGUAUGUAAAGCUCUAUCAGCAGGGAAGAAAAAAGACGGUACCUGACUAAGAAGCCCCGGCUAACUACGUGCCAGCAGCCGCGGUAAUACGUAGGGGGCAAGCGUUAUCCGGAUUUACUGGGUGUAAAGGGAGCGUAGACGGCAAUACAAGUCGGAAGUGAAAUACCCGGGCUUAACCUGGGAACUGCUUUGGAAACUGUAUGGCUGGAGUGCUGGAGAGGUAAGCGGAAUUCCUAGUGUAGCGGUGAAAUGCGUAGAUAUUAGGAGGAACACCAGUGGCGAAGGCGGCUUACUGGACAGUAACUGACGUUGAGGCUCGAAAGCGUGGGGAGCAAACAGGAUUAGAUACCCGCGUA
Molecule: ribosomal RNA, 446 nt
Filed under: uncultured bacterium
Lineage: Bacteria
Description: bacterial SSU rRNA
Rfam family: Bacterial small subunit ribosomal RNA
Source: RNAcentral